UGUAUGAAAGCCCAACGACGCCACCCAGAGGUAUCUUUGUGUUUAUAACCCUUUUAAUGUUUGGGAAAGCCUGAACAAGUCAAGACAUGCCCGGACAAGUAUCAGGAGGCAGUCUAUAUGUAUGAGUGGAGUGACUGACUUGUUCAUUGUGCAAGAAAAGGGACUACUGCAUGUUUGUUUCUUCUGUGAGUGAUUGAUUAAAAAACCACACACGCACACACAAACUUGCAAGGAUAAUUCAAAUAAAACCUUCAACUGGGACCUGCUCUCUUGCUCCCGUUUCUCUAACCGGAAACUCCCACUACCAUUUCUACGUGUACCUAAACGAACCCUUGAGCGUCCCACGCGCUCGUGCACCCUGUGUGAAUAAGCGCUUCAGGCCCGGACACAUUCAGAGGCGUCUCCUAUCAGACCGUAUUACACUGCAGUCCAUCCGAUUCAACUGUUGCAUUAAUUGCACUGGAAGAUGACAGUGUAACUAAUGAGGAAUAUGCAUUGUGAAUGUCUAUAUCUGUUCAUUAGCAACACACUAGUGUUCACGAACUGAGCGAGGAUCUGCCCUCUAGUGAGCAGUUGAGAUGAAGAAUGCCAUCAUG
Molecule: long non-coding RNA, 596 nt
Organism: Cyprinus carpio carpio
Lineage: Eukaryota; Metazoa; Chordata; Actinopteri; Cypriniformes; Cyprinidae
Source: Ensembl